Molecule: ribosomal RNA, 444 nt
Filed under: Acanthamoeba sp.
Lineage: Eukaryota; Discosea; Longamoebia; Acanthamoebidae
Description: SSU rRNA
Rfam family: Eukaryotic small subunit ribosomal RNA (bases 1-385)
Source: RNAcentral
UGGCCCAGAGUUUACCGUGAAGGCUUAGAGUGUUCAAAGCAGGCAGAUCCAAUUUUCUGCCACCGAAUACAUUAGCAUGGGAUAAUGGAAUAGGACCCUGUCCUCCUAUUUUCAGUUGGUUUGCCGCGAGGACCAGGGUAAUGAUUAAUAGGGAUAGUUGGGGGCAUUAAUAUUUAAUUGUCAGAGGUGAAAUUCUUGGAUUUAUGAAAGAUUAACUUCUGCGAAUCAGCUGCCAAGGAUGUCGUUCAUUAAUCAAGAACGAAAGUUAGGGGAUCGAAGACGAUCAGAUACCGUCGUAGUCUUAACCAUUAACGAUGCCGACCAGCGAUUAGGAGACGUUGAAUACAAAACACCACCAUGCGCAUUGCGGUCGUCUUUGGUGUCGCUCACAAGGCGGCACCGGGGCGGCUUAGCUCGCAUGCACGGUGAAUCCCUAGCAGCUUG